This 793-nucleotide unclassified non-coding RNA is filed under the name Arabidopsis thaliana (thale cress). RNAcentral describes it as "3' external transcribed spacer". Lineage: Eukaryota; Viridiplantae; Streptophyta; Magnoliopsida; Brassicales; Brassicaceae. The record is from RNAcentral.
CCCUCCCCUAAAUCACUCCAAAAAAAACAAUCCCCAAUUCUACACAAGUGUUUCUACACUAACAAAGCAACAGCUCCUUAACGAAUUCCCAACUUUACACGAGCUCGUCUCUCGAGGUUAAAUGUUAUUACUUGGUAAGAUUCCGGACCUCGCCAAGUGUUUUGAAAACCCGCAACGCUCGCAAAGGUGCAUAGUGAGAAUAAUAAGUGAAGAGACAGACUUGUCCAAAACGCCCACCACGAAGGUGCAUAGUGAGAAGAGUAAGUCAAGAGAUAGACUUGUCCAAAAAGAAACGGAAGAGAAAGCUUGGGGAGACGCUCACGAAGGUGCAUAGUGAGAAGAGUAAGUCAAGAGAUAGACUUGUUCAAAAAGAAACAGAAGAGAAUGUUUGGGGUUACACUCACGAAGGUGCAUAGUGAGAAGAGUAAGUCAAGAGACAGACUUGUUCAAAAAGAAACGAAAGAGAAUGCUUGGGGAGAUAGAAGUGUGAGAUAGUUCUCAAGCUAAGAAAGUUGUAAAAGCUAAGAACUAGCAAGUAAUCGUCCAGGAUUCCUCCACCAGGACUUGAAAUCGUCGAGGGAAAAAAAUCGGUUCCGAGGAAUCGUCGAUCCGGACUUGGAAUCGUCGAGAAAAGUUUACCGGGUCCGAGGAUUUGUCGACCAGGAGUGGAAAUCGUCGAGAAAAAUCUAUCGGGUCCGAGGAAUCGUCGACCAGGACGAGGAAUCGUCGACCGGGUCCGAGGAUUUGUCGACCAGGGGUUGAAAUCGUCGACCGGGUCCGAGAAUUCGUCGAC